GAUCAUGGCUCAGGAUGAACGCUAGCUACAGGCUUAACACAUGCAAGUCGAGGGGCAGCGCAGUGUAGCAAUACAUGGGUGGCGACCGGCGCACGGGUGCGUAACGCGUAUCCAACCUUCCCGAUACUCAGGGAUAGCCUUCCGAAAGGGAGAUUAAUACCUGAUGGUGUUUUAAUUCCGCAUGUUAAUGAAACUAAAGAUUUAUCGGUAUCGGAUGGGGAUGCGUGACAUUAGAUAGUAGGCGGGGUAACGGCCCACCUAGUCUACGAUGUCUAGGGGUUCUGAGAGGAAGGUCCCCCACACUGGAACUGAGACACGGUCCAGACUCCUACGGGAGGCAGCAGUGAGGAAUAUUGGUCAAUGGUCGGAAGACUGAACCAGCCAAGUAGCGUGAAGGAUGAAGGUUCUAUGGAUUGUAAACUUCUUUUAUACGGGAAUAAAACCACCUACGUGUAGGUGCUUGUAUGUACCGUAUGAAUAAGCAUCGGCUAACUCCGUG
Molecule: ribosomal RNA, 499 nt
Filed under: uncultured bacterium
Lineage: Bacteria
Description: bacterial SSU rRNA
Rfam family: Bacterial small subunit ribosomal RNA
Source: RNAcentral